AUUUCUCCGCCCCUUGAAGCUGGGCUGCCGCGUGACUUGCUUAGGCCGAGACGAUGCCAUGGAAGAGAGGAUGCGCCAGCUCCAAGCCUUGGCCUUAGGAGCCCUUGAGCUUCUCCACUUGCUCUGCUGUCUCCCACCGUCACUGAGAACAAUCCUAGGCUAGCCUGCAGGAGGAUGAAGCCCACGUAGGGGAGAACCAUCCUACAGCCCACCGACCCCUAGCCUGGGAGAGAGACCAGCCAAGGUCAGGAGAGCUGCCUGGAUGACGCCCAGCUGGCACAGACUCACACAUAAGCCAGCUAAGACCAGUGGAACAGCUCAGCUGACCGGAGACUCCUGAGCCAGAAUAUAUGAUUACUGUUGUAAAUCACUGGGUUCGAGGCUGGUUUGUUACAGAAGAAUGGCUGACACGCUCUCCCUGUGCCUACACAGCUCCCGGUGCACCGUAAGUGCCGCAUAAUUGCCUGCUGUAGGGAGUGAGACAGGCUCGUGGCAUGGAAUUGAGCACCGACAUUUUUACUUGGCUUUAAGAUAUUUCCUGGCGGACAUCAAAGUUGAAGGAGGGAAUGUGUUUAAGAAUCACUGUUUUAGACAAAUAUGGCAACACAGUAGCUGACCUUUUCUCAUUUGUUCAUUCUAGAAAUACUUAUUUUGUGCCUGCUGUGUGCCGCUCUGGGCAGGUAGUGUGACCCCUCAGAUACUGUCCCUCCUCUCAGGUUGGACCCUCAGCCUUAGUGAGAGCCAGUAACUUUCCCACUGCACCCAGGUUAUUUAUUCCCUGGACCCUGUCCAUGUGCUCAGCCAUACCGCCCACACCCGCCUCCAGCCACGCCCGGAACUGUGCUGCC
Molecule: long non-coding RNA, 848 nt
Filed under: Equus caballus (horse)
Lineage: Eukaryota; Metazoa; Chordata; Mammalia; Perissodactyla; Equidae
Description: lncRNA (ENSECAG00000043154.2)
Source: RNAcentral